RNAcentral lists this ribosomal RNA (664 nucleotides) under uncultured bacterium. RNAcentral's name for it is "bacterial SSU rRNA". It matches the Rfam family "Bacterial small subunit ribosomal RNA", at positions 232 to 885 of the family's 1533-position model. The record is from RNAcentral.
CGCGGCCUAUCAGCUUGUUGGUGGGGCCACGGCCCACCAAGGCGACGACGCGUAGCGGGUCUGAGAGGACGACCCGUCACAUUGGGACUGAGAUACGGCCCAGACUCCUACGGGAGGCAGCAGUGGGGAAUAUUGCGCAAUGGGCGAAAGCCUGACGCAGCGACGCCGCGUGUGGGAGGAAGCCUUUCGGGGUGUAAACCACUGUCAGAGGGGAAGAACGGCGCCGGCCCGAAUACGGUUGGCGAUUGACGGUACCUUCAGAGGAAGCGCCGGCUAACUCCGCGCCAGCAGCCGCGGUAAGACGGAGGGCGCAAGCGUUGUUCGGAAUUACUGGGCGUAAAGGGCGGGCAGGCGGUCUGUUAAGUCUUCUGUGAAAAUCCGGGGCUCAACCCCGCGAAAUGCAGGAGAUACUGGCAGACUAGAGACCGGUAGAGGCUAGCGGAAUUCCUGGUGUAGCGGUGGAAUGCGUAGAUAUCAGGAAGAACACCUGUGGCGAAGGCGGCUAGCUGGGCCGGAUCUGACGCUCAUCCGCGAAAGCGUGGGGAGCAAACAGGAUUAGAUACCCUGGUAGUCCACGCCGUAAACGAUGGGCACUAGGUACCGGGUCUAUAGACGGAUUCGGUGCCGCAGCUAACGCAUUAAGUGCCCCGCCUGGGGAGUACGG